RNAcentral lists this ribosomal RNA (840 nucleotides) under Brachydictyochaeta antillana. RNAcentral's name for it is "partial large subunit ribosomal RNA". It matches the Rfam family "Eukaryotic large subunit ribosomal RNA", at positions 65 to 943 of the family's 3401-position model. Lineage: Eukaryota; Fungi; Ascomycota; Sordariomycetes; Chaetosphaeriales; Chaetosphaeriaceae. The record is from RNAcentral.
CCAACAGGGAUUGCCUCAGUAACGGCGAGUGAAGCGGCAACAGCUCAAAUUUGAAAUCUCCUUCGGGCGAGUUGUAAUUUGCAGAGGAUGCUUCGGGCGCGGCGCCUUCCAAGUCCCCUGGAACGGGGCGCCUUAGAGGGUGAGAGCCCCGUACGGUUGGACGCCAAGCCUGUGUGAAGCUCCUUCGACGAGUCGAGUAGUUUGGGAAUGCUGCUCAAAAUGGGAGGUAGACCCCUUCUAAAGCUAAAUAUAGGCCAGAGACCGAUAGCGCACAAGUAGAGUGAUCGAAAGAUGAAAAGCACUUUGAAAAGAGGGUUAAAUAGCACGUGAAAUUGUUGAAAGGGAAGCGCUUGUGACCAGACUUGCGCCGGGGCGAUCAUCCAGCGUUCUCGCUGGUGCACUCGCCCCGGUUCAGGCCAGCGUCGAUUCGGAAGGGGGGACAAAGGCGCCGGGAACGUAGCUCCUCGGAGUGUUAUAGCCCGGCGUGCAAUGCCCCCGUCUGGAUCGAGGUUCGCGCUCUGCAAGGACGCUGGCAUAAUGGUCAUCAGCGACCCGUCUUGAAACACGGACCAAGGAGUCGAGGUUCUGCGCGAGUGUUUGGGUGUCAAACCCGCACGCGUAAUGAAAGUGAACGUAGGUGAGAGCUUCGGCGCACCACCGACCGAUCCUGAUGUUCUCGGAUGGAUUUGAGUAAGAGCGUUGGGCCUCGGACCCGAAAGAUGGUGAACUAUGCUUGGAUAGGGUGAAGCCAGAGGAAACUCUGGUGGAGGCUCGCAGCGGUUCUGACGUGCAAAUCGAUCGUCAAAUCUGAGCAUGGGGGCGAAAGACUAAUCGAACCAU